Molecule: ribosomal RNA, 583 nt
Filed under: Ustulina deusta
Lineage: Eukaryota; Fungi; Ascomycota; Sordariomycetes; Xylariales; Xylariaceae
Description: eukaryotic LSU rRNA
Rfam family: 5.8S ribosomal RNA (bases 213-366)
Source: RNAcentral
GGUGACCAGCGGAGGGAUCAUUACAGAGUUGAUAAAAAGACUCCCAAACCCGUGUGAACUUACCUCUUGUUGCCUCGGUAGGCAAGCUGGUACCCCUUCACGCCACUCCUGGCGUGACGCGGUGGCAGCCGGCCUGCCGGUGGCCUAAGAAAUGAAAUUCUGUUUUUUUUACGAUGUGAUAUUCUGACGAGUGGAUAAAAAUCUAAGUUAAAAACUUUCAACAACGGAUCUCUUGGUUCUGGCAUCGAUGAAGAACGCAGCGAAAUGCGAUAAGUAAUGUGAAUUGCAGAAUUCAGUGAAUCAUCGAAUCUUUGAACGCAUAUUGCGCCCAUUAGUAUUCUAGUGGGCAUGCCUGUCCGAGCGUCAUUUCAACCCUUGAGCCUCUGUUGCUCAGCGUUGGGAGCCUACAGCGUCCCUGCCGUAGUUCCUUAAAGGUAGUGGCGGAGUCGGCUUACCACUCUAGGCGUAGUAGAUUCUAUCUCGCCUAUAGAUAAGCCGGCCUCUCGCCGUAAAAGGAAAAAAACAAAUCGUUAUCAGGUUGACCUCGGAUCAGGUAGGAAUACCCGCUGAACUUAAGCAUAUC